UUUUUUUUUUGAUUUUAUUUCCCCGAUUAUUUCGUUGUUCGACCGGUGAUUAAAUUUAAUUAAUAUCGUUCUUGGAGAGAAGUCCUUCGUCGAGAGUGUUAUGUAAAUUCAAUUGGAUUUAAAAUUUAGAUGCGGAACGUUGAAAAAGUUUCGGUUCGAGAAUUUCAUAACCUAAAAAUUGCGAUCGAUGCGGGUGAAGAUUCUACGCAAUUUGAAGUCUGUUAAAUUUUUUUUUUUUUUGAGCAAAUAUAUAUAUCAUCAAGUUUUGUACACACGCAAGAAAACAUUAUUUCCCGAAGAUUUUUACAUAGGAAACUUUCAUAACUUCUUUCUCUCGUCACGCGAAAUGAAUGCAAUUAGUUCUCUUUAACUCAUAAAUAGUAGCCUGAUUACCGAUCGUUUCCAUAAUAAAUAAGCCUCGAUGUUUCAUUUAUAAUUUUCACAAGAUAAUCUUCUUCUUAUAUUUAAAACUUCUUUUCCUGCUAUCAUUUUUUUUUUGACGAGCAAAAUUUCCAUUAAAUUCCUAUUAAUAAAACGCGAAGCGAUAACAAACGACACAGCGUGAAAAACAAUCGUCACUUAUUUAUAUCGUGAUGGUAAUUAUGCAAACGCUGGACUCCCUCCUCCCGCCGCUCUAAAUUUAACGUGCAAUGUAUCGUGGAAUAUUGAACAACACCGAUAAAACGUUAAAUUCGAUCGAACUUCUCUCCUCUCCCCAAUCUCGGCCCAUAAAAUAUCAAUUUUGUCGAUUAAUCGUUUCGAAGCUGGAAACAUAAUUUGGGAGAAAAAAGAAGAAGAAAAAAUACAGGUACGCGUUCGACCGCGCCCAAGAAUCGCGCGAGACGAGGAGAAACGAGACGAGGCACGCCGAUCACGCGUUCAAAGGGUGGGCGAGGCAGGUCAGGCGCUAAUUGCGUUACGGGAACGAGCGUUAAUGAGCUGCUGCGUUUCGGUUCGUGGCUGCGUCGGUAAGGGUAAUCGUGCCGCGACGUUCUUGGACCAGUUCAAUCUGUCCGCGCGUUCCCCGCUUGCCAACGAACCAAAUAACCCGGCCUUAACCUUGCGGCAAGCCGAGGUACUUUGCUCUUACUUACCAGUCUGCCGAAUCGAACCAGUUGUGCAACGAGAAACGAGGGUCUCGUUUCAUCGAUCGAAGAUUUAUUGAUCGAACGAGGAACGGUCGAAAAUGAACUGGUUGAGACUGAACGGCCGAAGAGAUCAACAAAAAGAAAGAAAAAAGGAGAGAAGAGCGAAUAGAGAAGAAGAGCAAGAAUAGAAUCGCGGUUUUCUCAGUCGAUAAGAGGAGGGUGAACCAGUCUGGCGCGGUUUCCCUUCUCCGUUUCUCAUCCACAAGCGUGAGAGAAAAAGAAGAAGAAAAAAGCAAGAUCGAAAGGAGAGGAUGAAAAUUGUAAAGGACGCGCGAUCGAGUUCGUGAAAGGCAGGAUACGCGUGUAAAUGGAGCGCGUUGCGGCGAUAAUGUCGACCCCCCCUUCCCUUCCCUUCUCCCCACCACGCCGAGGAUCCGCUCGAAGAACUCGAGCGUCGGACGAAGAUAAGCGUGAAAGCGCAGGUCUCGACGUCGAUUAACCCAACCACCGCGGAAACCGAGUAUUAAAAUAAUUCUGUAAUUGGAGAUUGCAACUUGUUGCACGCACACGUCGCUUCUUCUUCCCUGCAUUUUCUUUUUGCCUUUUUGACGCUCCCUCCCUCGCUCUCUCGCAAUUAGUACGAAACAGUUUCGUUUUCUUUUUUUUUUUACCUCGCGCGAGACAACUAAUCGCGUUCACUUAACUCACACUCGUUUAAUAUUGAGCAUCUUCUCAAGAGAGCACGGUGAAUAGUUUAUUCAAGAUGAUAAAUAAUAAUUUUUCUUCGCUUGAGAUACAAUCACUUGAGAUUAAAUAUUUGAGAUUAAAAAAUAUUUUUUUUUAAUUGAACCUGCCUUGUGAGUUUAAGAUAAAAGUAAGAUAAAAGUAAGAUGUAUUUAUAUGGAAUCAUCGGAGAAGGGGAAAGAUGUGUUCUUCCUUGGCCAGGCGGUAAUAUCGAUCGGGGCGCCAACUCGUAAAAGACGGAAAGCAGCGCGAAACAAAACGAAAGGAAAGGAAAGAAAAGGAAAGAGAGCGAGCGAGCGAGCCGCAGGUAACUCUAGACAGAGAGGGAAACCCGAGGGAAAACGGCAGUUACGAAGGGAGACGCCAAUGGAUGUGGCUGGUAACUCAACUCUGCCGCGGAUCUAAGCUUUCCAACACGAGGAUCGUCUUACCGGAUCCGUGAGGAUUACGCAAAAGUGUGGCCAACCGGCUUUAACGACACUUUACAAGCGAAUUAUUAAGUUCCAUGGCGACGGAUAAACUGGAUGAAUCUUGGAUGAUUUUUGGAACGAUUUCUAUCUCAUCGAAGAAAUUUAUUGAUAAAUCGAGUAAAUUUUUAACGCGAAAUAAAAAUAUUUUUAGGCGUUUUCAAGCGAAUGCCAACUAUCUUUUCCAUCGUUUGAAAUAAUUUAAAAAAUUAUUAAUAAAAAUUUGAAAUUAUUAUUUAUCGUGCGAGAUAAGAUGGUAGAUUUGCGAACUUUUAAUAAAUAUCAUCUUCAACGAGGUAAGAAUUGGAAUAUUUUGGAAAUUUUUGCGAAAUGAUUUUCGAUACAUUUUUGAUUAAAAAAAAAAAAUAACCACGUCGAAGCAUCCUAUUUAUUCGCUCAAUUAUCGAUUAUAUAUUUUUUUCUGUUUUCAAAAGAUGGAUAUAUUUAUUAUUCUAUAAAUAUUUUAAAUGAUUUUUGGAGAGUCAUUCGUUUAUAAUUACAUCAUAUGCAAACUUUCGCUUGUCGGAAUAUUUCAUUUUUAUCAUCAAAAUUUCCCAAUAUUUAUUUUUGGCAAAUGAAAAAAAAAACGAGUUUUACGAUCGUUCGAGAAACGAAAAUUUCGUAAAAAUGCCAAUCAAUGUGACUCAUAAACUAAAUAUAGCCAUACAAAUUUUUACGAUCCCACCUUUUUUCUGUGAAUGAUACAAUGAUACGUAAAACAGAAGUUCAAACCUCUAAAAAAAAAUUAAUUAAUUAACACGCUGGUAAUGCGAUGGCUCCUCUCCUUGACCGAAAAAGGAAUGAUUGUGUUUUCUUAACAACUUCAUCGGCGACUCGAAUCUUCGAUCAACCCUUGAGAACCGUAAAAGUCGACCUUUUGGAGAAUGAGCGGUAUAAAUGUGUCAUUUAGAUUAAAAUUUAUUGUUUUGUAGAAUAAAUAUAAAUUUUAAAUAAAAAAAUAAA
Molecule: long non-coding RNA, 3262 nt
Organism: Apis cerana (Asiatic honeybee)
Lineage: Eukaryota; Metazoa; Arthropoda; Insecta; Hymenoptera; Apidae
Source: RefSeq, a predicted model, not a curated record